RNAcentral lists this ribosomal RNA (729 nucleotides) under Candidatus Tremblayella phenacoccinincola. RNAcentral's name for it is "bacterial SSU rRNA". It matches the Rfam family "Bacterial small subunit ribosomal RNA", at positions 658 to 1382 of the family's 1533-position model. The record is from RNAcentral. Lineage: Bacteria; Pseudomonadati; Pseudomonadota; Betaproteobacteria.
GGGAUAGAAUUCCAGGAGUAGCGGUGAAAUGCGUAGAUAUCUGGAGGAAUACCAAAGGCGAAGGCAGUCCCCUGGUCCGAUACUGACACUGAGGUACGAAAGCGUGGGGAGCAAACAGGAUUAGAUACCCUGGUAGUCCACGCCCUAAACGAUGUCGAUUAGCCAUUGGAAGGACCCCUUUUCCUUUCAGUGACGUAGCUAACGCGCUAAAUCGACCGCCUGGGAAGUACGACCGCAAGGUUAAAACUCAAAGGAAUUGACGGGGACCUGAACAAGCGGUGAAUGAUGUGGAUUAAUUCGAUGCUACGCGAAGAACCUUACCUACCUUUGACAUGGCCAAAGUUCUACCGAGAGGCGGAAGUACUCGUAAGAGGAUUGGCGCACAGGUGCUGCAUGGUUGUCGUCAGAUCGUGUCGUGAGAUGUUGGGUUCAGUCCCGCAACGAACGCAACCCUUAUCUUUAAUUGCUCCUAUUUUAACAGGCACUUUAAAGAAACUGCCAAUGAUAAGUUGGAGGAAGGUGGGGAUCACGUCAAGUCCGCAUGGCCUUUAUAGGUAGGGCUUCACACGUCAUACAAUGGUUAGAACAAAGAGCUGCAAAUUCGUAAGAAGGAGCCAAUCUCACAAACCUAACCUCAGUUCGAAUUGCGGUCUGCAACUCGAGCGCAUGAAGCCGGAAUCGCUAGUAAUCGUGGAUCAGAAUGCCACGGUGAAUACGUUCUUAGGUCUU